RNAcentral lists this ribosomal RNA (486 nucleotides) under uncultured bacterium. RNAcentral describes it as "partial 16S ribosomal RNA". It matches the Rfam family "Bacterial small subunit ribosomal RNA", at positions 30 to 507 of the family's 1533-position model. The record is from RNAcentral.
AUUGAACGCUGGCGGCAUGCCUUACACAUGCAAGUCGAACGGCAGCACGGGUGCUUGCACCUGGUGGCGAGUGGCGAACGGGUGAGUAAUACAUCGGAACAUGUCCUGGAGUGGGGGAUAGCCCGGCGAAAGCCGGAUUAAUACCGCAUACGAUCCGCGGAUGAAAGCGGGGGACCUUCGGGCCUCGCGCUAUAGGGUUGGCCGAUGGCUGAUUAGCUAGUUGGUGGGGUAAAGGCCUACCAAGGCGACGAUCAGUAGCUGGUCUGAGAGGACGACCAGCCACACUGGGACUGAGACACGGCCCAGACUCCUACGGGAGGCAGCAGUGGGGAAUUUUGGACAAUGGGCGAAAGCCUGAUCCAGCAAUGCCGCGUGUGUGAAGAAGGCCUUCGGGUUGUAAAGCACUUUUGUCCGGAAAGAAAUCCUUGACUCUAAUACAGUCGGGGGAUGACGGUACCGGAAGAAUAAGCACCGGCUAACUACGUG